Molecule: long non-coding RNA, 317 nt
Organism: Pygocentrus nattereri (red-bellied piranha)
Lineage: Eukaryota; Metazoa; Chordata; Actinopteri; Characiformes; Serrasalmidae
Exons: 3
Source: RefSeq, a predicted model, not a curated record
AGAACAGCAAGAAAAAAUCGCAAAGGACCUCAAAGACCUCAGAAACAAGGUGACGUUUGGCUUCUUCAUCUGCAAUGCUCUUUGGUUGGUGGCCACCCUGUUCCUUCAAACCAUUGGCAGCGCUGUCAGUCUAUUUAUUCCAAAAAUCUAUCCGAAUGGGACUUUGGUUAAGGGAGAAAGAUUUUCCAUUGAUCCAAUAUCACUGAUGUUUCUCCUGAGCUUUGCUUUACUGCUGUUUAUGCAGUUUUUUGCUAUGCUUUACCACAGAAUCUACACAUUAAUCCAUUUUGUGGCCUAUCUUGACACAGAAACUAAGG